This 1325-nucleotide long non-coding RNA is filed under the name Homo sapiens (human). RNAcentral's name for it is "HSALNT0293393". The record is from RNAcentral. Lineage: Eukaryota; Metazoa; Chordata; Mammalia; Primates; Hominidae.
GGACCCAGGAUUUCAGUUGCCAAGCCAGAGAGCAGGGGACCCAGGAAAGAAUAUUGGCAUUCAUUUGAUUUUUCCAUCUUCUGAUAUAACCUUCAAAUGUUAAUAGUGUGUCGAAGAAUUUAUUGGAAAUGAGAAACAAGAAAACAGUGAGUCUAACCUAGUCAUUCUAGAAUUGGGAGGUAAUAGAAAAGAGAGAAAUGGGAAAGUUGCUCAAAUGCAAGUCCAGUGAAUCAGAGAGAAAAGGCUCAAAGCAGCAGAACAAAGCUUCAAUAAAGAGAUAUUGUGACUUGGAGAGAUGGCCUUUUGUCCUUUGUUCUAUUACCAGUCAGAGGAUGGGGAGCACACCCGAGCCUGAGACAACAGCUCUGCUAAGUGCCCUUGAGAGGGCACGGUGGGGUCAGCACCAAAGUCAGACCACUAAAGAGAAAAAGAGAGAAAGACAGGAUUGCAGAGGAGAAAUGAGAAUGGCAGAAAAAAUAAUUUUUUAAGCCAAAAGGAAUCAGAGAAGAGCAGAAGUGCCUCUAGGAUAAAGCGUAGCAGGCAGUUAGGGAAAAAGGGCUGUUAACUACCUUGAAGCUCUGACUACAUUAGAAAGCCUCGCAAGACAGUCGUUGCUUGCACGGGCAGGUAGAGAACUUUUCCUGUCCAUUGUUCUUCUGAAUUAUAAAUCACUGACCUCUUUAUGAUUUCUAAAGGGAAAAUGACUUCAAGCUUCUUAGAGUUCCCCUAAGGCAUUCUCUAUAUUCAAUAUAAUAUGGGAAGCCCUGGGUUUGUCUUUGUAUGUUUCAUCUGCAGUGACCUGAAAUCUUCAUAACCCUCUUCCUUUCUCCACUUAUCAACUAAGGGGUGGUUGGCAAUAAGGAUGGGUGGGAGAGAAAAAAAAACAGAAUUUGAGGAGGAGAGCAUUUAAACCAUCAGACUGUGUGUUCUGUGACAUCAAAGACUGGCAACAUUCUAAAGGAAAAGCAGCUGUGAAGUCAUAAUUAUGUUCACUUCCCACUGGCAACUGGCAAGCCCUUUAUUUUUGUGCAUUCGGAACUCACCAAGAAUAAAUAAAGUCCAUUCCCUCCUUGAGGGGCUAUUCUGCCAUUCCAUCUAGGAUUUAAAAGUUUGCCAAUUCCUAAAACAUCUAUUGUUAUCAAUAGUCUUGUGUCUUUCACAAAGCGGACUUUACAAAAUAAGUUAACAGGCCAUGAGAGGAACAGUCACACAUACCAAGAAAGGUACAUACGGAGAUAAUUCCAAUCAAAGUGAGCACAGCCUACGCAUAAACAGGAUGAUGGGUCAAAUAAAACAACUCUACUCCAUUCUGUAAGAGAUUCAGG